CAACAGGGAUUGCCCUAGUAACGGCGAGUGAAGCGGCAACAGCUCAAAUUUGAAAUCUGGCUCUUUUAGAGUCCGAGUUGUAAUUUGCAGAGGGCGCUUUGGCUUUGGCAGCGGUCCAAGUUCCUUGGAACAGGACGUCACAGAGGGUGAGAAUCCCGUACGUGGUCGCUGGCUAUUGCCGUGUAAAGCCCCUUCGACGAGUCGAGUUGUUUGGGAAUGCAGCUCUAAAUGGGAGGUACAUUUCUUCUAAAGCUAAAUAUUGGCCAGAGACCGAUAGCGCACAAGUAGAGUGAUCGAAAGAUGAAAAGCACUUUGGAAAGAGAGUCAAACAGCACGUGAAAUUGUUAAAAGGGAAGCGCUUGCAGCCAGACUUGCUUACAGUUGCUCAUCCGGGCUUUUGCCCGGUGCACUCUUCUGUAGGCAGGCCAGCAUCAGUUUGGGCGGUAGGAUAAAGGUCUCUGUCACGUACCUCCUUUCGGGGAGGCCUUAUAGGGGAGACGACAUACUACCAGCCUGGACUGAGGUCCGCGCAUCUGCUAGGAUGCUGGCGUAAUGGCUGUAAGCGGCCCGUCUUGAAACACGGACCAAGGAGUCUAACAUCUAUGCGAGUGUUUGGGUGUCAAGCCCGAGCGCGUAAUGAAAGUGAACGGAGGUGGGAACCCGCAAGGGUGCACCAUCGACCGAUCCUGAUGUCUUCGGAAGGAUUUGAGUAAGAGCAUGGCUGUUGGGACCCGAAAGAUGGUGAACUAUGCUUGAAUAGGGUGAAGCCAGAGGAAACUCUGGUGGAGGCUCGCAGCGGUUCUGACGUGCAAAUCGAUCGUCAAAUUUGGGCAUAGGGGCGAAAGACUAAUCGAACUAUC
RNAcentral lists this ribosomal RNA (860 nucleotides) under Ulocladium sp. XGZ-2011c. RNAcentral describes it as "LSU rRNA". It matches the Rfam family "Eukaryotic large subunit ribosomal RNA", at positions 66 to 944 of the family's 3401-position model. The record is from RNAcentral. Lineage: Eukaryota; Fungi; Ascomycota; Dothideomycetes; Pleosporales; Pleosporaceae.